This 250-nucleotide unclassified non-coding RNA is filed under the name plant metagenome. RNAcentral describes it as "partial contains small subunit ribosomal RNA, internal transcribed spacer 1, and 5.8S ribosomal RNA". The record is from RNAcentral.
GUAGGUGAACCUGCGGAAGGAUCAUUAUUACAAUCAUUCACAACCAUCGUACUGUUGGCGUCAGCUAACAGUACGAUGGUCCCUUUUUGCUAGCAACUGCUUUGCAGUUGAUGGGAAAAAGUAUUUCUUUCUUUGCUGGCAACUCGCAAGCGAGUUGAGUAGGGCUCAGGACAAUCAACUGUUCGGCUCCCUUCAACUGCGUCAGCAGUUGCCAGCAAAGAAAGCAAAAACGAUAUAUGUUGACACACAA